RNAcentral lists this ribosomal RNA (2906 nucleotides) under Salmonella enterica subsp. salamae. RNAcentral describes it as "bacterial LSU rRNA". It matches the Rfam family "Bacterial large subunit ribosomal RNA". The record is from RNAcentral. Lineage: Bacteria; Pseudomonadati; Pseudomonadota; Gammaproteobacteria; Enterobacterales; Enterobacteriaceae.
UUAAGCGACCAAGCGUACACGGUGGAUGCCCUGGCAGUCAGAGGCGAUGAAGGACGUGCUAAUCUGCGAUAAGCGCCGGUAAGGUGAUAUGAACCGUUAUAACCGGCGAUUUCCGAAUGGGGAAACCCAGUGUGAUUCGUCACACUAUCAUUAACUGAAUCCAUAGGUUAAUGAAGCGAACCGGGGGAACUGAAACAUCUAAGUACCCCGAGGAAAAGAAAUCAACCGAGAUUCCCCCAGUAGCGGCGAGCGAACGGGGAGGAGCCCAGAGCCUGAAUCAGCAUGUGUGUUAGUGGAAGCGUCUGGAAAGGCGCGCGAUACAGGGUGACAGCCCCGUACACAAAAGCGCAUGUGCUGUGAGCUCGAUGAGUAGGGCGGGACACGUGGUAUCCUGUCUGAAUAUGGGGGGACCAUCCUCCAAGGCUAAAUACUCCUGACUGACCGAUAGUGAACCAGUACCGUGAGGGAAAGGCGAAAAGAACCCCGGCGAGGGGAGUGAAACAGAACCUGAAACCGUGUACGUACAAGCAGUGGGAGCACAGGUUUACCUGUGUGACUGCGUACCUUUUGUAUAAUGGGUCAGCGACUUAUAUUCUGUAGCAAGGUUAACCGUAUAGGGGAGCCGAAGGGAAACCGAGUCUUAACCGGGCGUUAAGUUGCAGGGUAUAGACCCGAAACCCGGUGAUCUAGCCAUGGGCAGGUUGAAGGUUGGGUAACACUAACUGGAGGACCGAACCGACUAAUGUUGAAAAAUUAGCGGAUGACCUGUGGCUGGGGGUGAAAGGCCAAUCAAACCGGGAGAUAGCUGGUUCUCCCCGAAAGCUAUUUAGGUAGCGCCUCGUGAAUUCAUCUCCGGGGGUAGAGCACUGUUUCGGCUAGGGGGCCAUCCCGGCUUACCAACCCGAUGCAAACUGCGAAUACCGGAGAAUGUUAUCACGGGAGACACACGGCGGGUGCUAACGUCCGUCGUGAAGAGGGAAACAACCCAGACCGCCAGCUAAGGUCCCAAAGUCAUGGUUAAGUGGGAAACGAUGUGGGAAGGCCCAGACAGCCAGGAUGUUGGCUUAGAAGCAGCCAUCAUUUAAAGAAAGCGUAAUAGCUCACUGGUCGAGUCGGCCUGCGCGGAAGAUGUAACGGGGCUAAACCAUGCACCGAAGCUGCGGCAGCGACACUUUAGUGUUGUUGGGUAGGGGAGCGUUCUGUAAGCCGUUGAAGGUGGCCUGUGAGGGUUGCUGGAGGUAUCAGAAGUGCGAAUGCUGACAUAAGUAACGAUAAAGCGGGUGAAAAGCCCGCUCGCCGGAAGACCAAGGGUUCCUGUCCAACGUUAAUCGGGGCAGGGUGAGUCGACCCCUAAGGCGAGGCCGAAAGGCGUAGUCGAUGGGAAACGGGUUAAUAUUCCCGUACUUGGUGUUACUGCGAAGGGGGGACGGAGAAGGCUAUGUUGGCCGGGCGACGGUUGUCCCGGUUUAAGCGUGUAGGUGUGUGUUCCAGGUAAAUCCGGUUCACUUUAACACUGAGGCGUGAUGACGAGGCACCACGGUGCUGAAGCAACAAAUGCCCUGCUUCCAGGAAAAGCCUCUAAGCAUCAGGUAACAUCAAAUCGUACCCCAAACCGACACAGGUGGUCAGGUAGAGAAUACCAAGGCGCUUGAGAGAACUCGGGUGAAGGAACUAGGCAAAAUGGUGCCGUAACUUCGGGAGAAGGCACGCUGACACGUAGGUGAAGUGGUUUACCCAUGGAGCUGAAGUCAGUCGAAGAUACCAGCUGGCUGCAACUGUUUAUUAAAAACACAGCACUGUGCAAACACGAAAGUGGACGUAUACGGUGUGACGCCUGCCCGGUGCCGGAAGGUUAAUUGAUGGGGUCAGCGCAAGCGAAGCUCCUGAUCGAAGCCCCGGUAAACGGCGGCCGUAACUAUAACGGUCCUAAGGUAGCGAAAUUCCUUGUCGGGUAAGUUCCGACCUGCACGAAUGGCGUAAUGAUGGCCAGGCUGUCUCCACCCGAGACUCAGUGAAAUUGAACUCGCUGUGAAGAUGCAGUGUACCCGCGGCAAGACGGAAAGACCCCGUGAACCUUUACUAUAGCUUGACACUGAACAUUGAGCCUUGAUGUGUAGGAUAGGUGGGAGGCUUUGAAGCGUGGACGCCAGUCUGCGUGGAGCCAACCUUGAAAUACCACCCUUUAAUGUUUGAUGUUCUAACGUGGACCCGUAAUCCGGGUUGCGGACAGUGUCUGGUGGGUAGUUUGACUGGGGCGGUCUCCUCCUAAAGAGUAACGGAGGAGCACGAAGGUUGGCUAAUCCUGGUCGGACAUCAGGAGGUUAGUGCAAUGGCAUAAGCCAGCUUGACUGCGAGCGUGACGGCGCGAGCAGGUGCGAAAGCAGGUCAUAGUGAUCCGGUGGUUCUGAAUGGAAGGGCCAUCGCUCAACGGAUAAAAGGUACUCCGGGGAUAACAGGCUGAUACCGCCCAAGAGUUCAUAUCGACGGCGGUGUUUGGCACCUCGAUGUCGGCUCAUCACAUCCUGGGGCUGAAGUAGGUCCCAAGGGUAUGGCUGUUCGCCAUUUAAAGUGGUACGCGAGCUGGGUUUAGAACGUCGUGAGACAGUUCGGUCCCUAUCUGCCGUGGGCGCUGGAGAACUGAGGGGGGCUGCUCCUAGUACGAGAGGACCGGAGUGGACGCAUCACUGGUGUUCGGGUUGUCAUGCCAAUGGCACUGCCCGGUAGCUAAAUGCGGAAGAGAUAAGUGCUGAAAGCAUCUAAGCACGAAACUUGCCCCGAGAUGAGUUCUCCCUGAGACUAUAAGUCUCCUGAAGGAACGUUGAAGACGACGACGUUGAUAGGCCGGGUGUGUAAGCGCAGCGAUGCGUUGAGCUAACCGGUACUAAUGAACCGUGAGGCUUAACCUU